GAAAAAAAAAGGAUUAAAAUCCAGUUUGAGUAUGGCAUUUGAUAUCCCAGGCAACUUACAUUCUGGUGAAGAGAUUACAAAAGAUGGUGAAACGUCUACAAAUCAAGAAAUUGUUGCGUUUGUGAUCUAAAAGCUAGAAGGUAAUGGUGCGACAUGGGAAACUGUAAAUUUAAUCAUUGUGUCGCAAUUUUCUACAAAUUCGAAGGUUUAAACUUAGCUGCUAUUUUAUGACCAGGUUGAAUAAUGAACAAAUAGCUGUUGUUGUUGAUUACUUUCGUGUCUUUUAGGUGUAAGAGUGAUUAUCUCUUUUUUAUGUUAUAUGCUUCUUCCUGAUUUUAGGUUUAGCUCCAUUCUCUUUUGAGUCUCAUUAAACAUCUACAGGAGAUCAUACAUAAGUGAUGUUAUUUCUUUUUAGAACAAAUUCCAGGAAAAGUGACAGGAAAACAAGCUUGUGAAAGAUGGGUGAAACACAGUACUCUCAGAAUUGCAUGCAUAUGGGUUUAAUUAGGCUAAGGUCAACUUUGAAUUCUUCAUAUAAACAGAGAUGGCAGGAUGAUUCUAAUUUUCAAAAUGAGUUUUUCGGACACUAUGACAUAUUCCAUAGAAGAAAUUGAUGAGAUUCGUGAAACAUGAGCCAAUUAUUUUUUUUUUAUAAUGAA
Ipomoea triloba (trilobed morning glory) is the source of this 659-nucleotide long non-coding RNA. RefSeq lists it as uncharacterized. Lineage: Eukaryota; Viridiplantae; Streptophyta; Magnoliopsida; Solanales; Convolvulaceae. The record is from RefSeq and is a predicted model, not a curated record. The transcript is spliced from 3 exons.